RNAcentral lists this small RNA (586 nucleotides) under Pongo abelii (Sumatran orangutan). RNAcentral describes it as "retained intron". The record is from RNAcentral. Lineage: Eukaryota; Metazoa; Chordata; Mammalia; Primates; Hominidae.
GGUCUCAGGCAGCUUUGCUGGGAGUGUCCACAUCACCCUGACCCCCGUGAGGCCUGACAGGACCCCGCACCCAGCCAGCCCAGGACCCAGCCUCCCAGCUAGGGGCAGCUGGUGACCGUGUGGUCAUGGUGGGGACCAGCCGUCCGGGGCGGGUUGUCACGUGGGAGGGCACAGGGCUUCCUGCAGGCUUGAAGGCCCAGGGUGGACUGUGGCCGGUGGAAGGGAAGGAUGUUUCUGGCAGGGGGACUUGUGUGGGCCACGGCCGUGCGGCUGCGGUGAUGAGCGUGGCCUCACUGUCCACCUGUCCCCUAGGCCUCCAGAGGAAGAAGUCCAAGUUCCGCUUGUCCAAGAUCUGGUCACCAAAAAGCAAAAGCAAAAGCAGCCCCUCCCAGUAGUAGCCAGUGGGGCCAUGGGCUCAGCCUGGACCCGGCAUCCGGACUUGGACCUGGGGACGUGGGCUCGGCCUGGACCCAGCAUCUGGACUUGGACUCAGGAAGGGCCUCCUGUCCCUACAAGGGGCAUGUGGACAGCAGGGACCUGCGCUACCGUCUGGCCUCAAUAAAGAAACGGACCACACGGCCCCGGU